Molecule: long non-coding RNA, 2418 nt
Organism: Homo sapiens (human)
Lineage: Eukaryota; Metazoa; Chordata; Mammalia; Primates; Hominidae
Exons: 2
Source: RefSeq, a predicted model, not a curated record
AAGACAGAGAACGCACACAAAGGCCCCAAGAGCGUAUCUAGCGCCCGAAAAUGCGGUGAGCUUGCAGGACACAGGCAGAGAUACGAGGGAACCGUCGCUUCCACACCGACACGGGAACGAAGGAACAGACAGUAAUAUUGCAGACUAAAAAAUAGCCGGGAGGUGUAAAACAUAGGGUCAGUUCCCAAGACAGGGCCGCCGCACGGGGGAGGCUCCACCCCACAAUUGUUUUCAGCGGCCAUAGGCACUUCUUUCCCCGCCCGUUUCCCAGCAGUGAAAGUACACGGAUUCAAGACUCACCAACGGGCGGGGCGGCGGCCCAUGGCGACACCAGGAUCUUCAGUGGCUGCAACGAAAAAGAGAGAGUCGGAACGGAAGACGAGAACAGACCUAAAAGGUGUGAGAACCAGCAACGGCACCGCAAGAGACGACAACUGCGCUUACUCACCACACCGAAGGGAAAGAGGCGCUCCUCCGCCUGCGCAUGGCUUAUAUAGGCGGUCUGUCUGCGCGCGUAAGAACCAUAGAGUCCUGUCGAAGACGGGUGGACGCUCUGUCAGACGUCAUGACCAUAGACGCAGCCGCUCUUGGCGCUUGCGCCCGGGCGUAGCCCAGCACAUGCGCAGAUCAGAGAGGUGACCGGGUACCAGGGCCGCGGGCGGCCAGCUGACGAAUGGGGCUUCGCCACAUGGUCGCGAGAAGCCCGCUUCCGGCUGGCCAUCUUGGGCGUAGAACUCUUGCCCUAGGCUUUGCCGUUAACUGUGACAGACGUAUAUUUCUGAGAGUGGAAAAAAGGAAAGUACCCUAGGUGGGCCUCCCGGCGACCGCGAGAGUGUCCCUGAGCUUGCACGGGUCUCGGACACGCGCUCCGUGCCUCCUUCUAGGCUAGAGGCCCCGGCGGUGAAGCGCCAUACGGGGAUCUGGGCCCGCGUUCCUUUGUCAACCCGGGAGGCCGGAGGGGGAGACCCAUUCCCCUACCGGAGAGGCUGGACCAGGCCUUGCUGGGAGCCAUGCCCCGUAUCCCCGUUUCCUGGAGACCCAGGGUUCGCACAUUGCCGCGGGGAAGAGGUCGAGGAGAAAUCUCCACGGAGACUCAUGGCCUGGGAAACCCCGGGGCAUCUCUAGCCCCGCUCCGCCCACCCUGACCCGCACCGUCCCGACCAGCUGCGUCUCGGGCGCCGCCUCCCAUGAGCCGCUCUCGCCUGGGCACCGCCCCACCUCGCCCUUCCCACUCCACUGUGCUCAAGAGUCCCUCCGGACGGAGUCUCACUGUGUCACCCAGGCUGGAGUGCAGUGGUGCGAUCUCGGCUUGCUGCAACCUUCACCUCCCGGGUUCAAGCGAUUCUUCUGCCUCAGCCUCCCGAGUAGCUGGGACUACAGGCACACGCCACCACGCCCAGCUAAUUUUUGUAUUUUUAGUAGAAACGAGGUUUCACCAUAUUAGCCAGGCUGGUCUCGAACUCCUGACCUCGUGAUCCACGCGCCUCAGCCUCCCAAAGUGCUGGGAUUACAGGCGUGAGCCACCGCGCCCGGCCGCAUAAUGGGUCUUAACUUGGCUAAUUAUGUGGGUGAUUGCACAGAAAAAUAGUAUAAAUAACUUCAUGCUUUUUUAUACAUGGGAUAACUUGCUUCAAGUUGUUUCAAAAACGUUUUUUUUUUUUUUUUUUUGAGACAGAAUCUUGCUCUGUCACCCAGGCUGGAGUGCCGUGGUGCGAUCUCGGCUCAGUGCAACCUCUGCCUCCUGGGUUCAAGCGAUUCUCCUGCCUCAGCCUCCUGAGUAGUUGGGAUUAUAGGCGAGGGCGCCACCACGCCCGGCUAAUUUUAUAUUUUUAUUAGAGACAGAGUUUCACUAUGUUGGUCAGGCUGGUCUCAAACUCCUGACCUCAAACGAUCCACCCGCCUCGGCCUCCCGAAGUGCUGGGAUCACAGGCGUGAGCCACCGCGCCCGGCCUCAAACACCUCUCAAUGAUUCGCUUGAGUAUGUGUAAAGUGAUGCACAGGCCACCCUGAAGACCUUGGUGGUUUCUAUUGAAACUACACAUCAAGCCGGGCGCGGCGGCCGGUGCGCGGUGCCCAGAAUCCCAGCACUUUGUGAGGCUGGGGUGGAUCACCUGAGCCCAGGAAUCCCAGACCAACCUGGGCGAAAAAGCGAGACCCCAUCUCUACAAAAAGUAAAAAAUUAGCCGGACAUGGUGGUGGCGUGCGCCUGUAGUCCCAGCUACACGGAAGGCUGAGGCUGGAGGUUGAAGCCCUCGCUGGGGUGGAGAGGUCAAGGCUGUAGUGAGCCCUCAUCGCGCCACUGCACUCCAGACUGGGCGCAGAGUGAGACCCUGACUCAAAAAGAAAGAAAAGGAAAGAAAGAAGGAAAGAAAGGAAGAAAGAAAGAGAAUUACAAAUAAAGCUACACAUCCACUUCUA